Molecule: ribosomal RNA, 482 nt
Filed under: uncultured Anaplasma sp.
Lineage: Bacteria; Pseudomonadati; Pseudomonadota; Alphaproteobacteria; Rickettsiales; Anaplasmataceae
Description: bacterial SSU rRNA
Rfam family: Bacterial small subunit ribosomal RNA
Source: RNAcentral
GAAUUCAGAGUUGGAUCNUGGUUCAGAACGAACGCUGGCGGCAAGCUUAACACAUGCAAGUCGAACGGAUUAUCUUUGUAGCUUGCUACGAAGAUAAUUAGUGGCAGACGGGUGAGUAAUGCAUAGGAAUCUACCUAGUAGUAUAGGAUAGCCACUAGAAAUGGUGGGUAAUACUGUAUAAUCCCUGCGGGGGAAAGAUUUAUCGCUACAUGAUGAGCCUAUGUUAGAUUAGCUAGUUGGUAGGGUAAAGGCCUACCAAGGCGAUGAUCUAUAGCUGGUCUGAGAGGAUGAUCAGCCACACUGGAACUGAGAUACGGUCCAGACUCCUACGGGAGGCAGCAGUGGGGAAUAUUGGACAAUGGGCGCAAGCCUGAUCCAGCUAUGCCGCGUGAGUGAGGAAGGCCUUAGGGUUGUAAAACUCUUUCAGUGGGGAAGAUAAUGACGGUACCCACNGAAGAAGNCNCGGNNAACUCGGGAUCCCG